This 548-nucleotide ribosomal RNA is filed under the name Moesziomyces aphidis. RNAcentral's name for it is "partial large subunit ribosomal RNA". It matches the Rfam family "Eukaryotic large subunit ribosomal RNA", at positions 114 to 643 of the family's 3401-position model. The record is from RNAcentral. Lineage: Eukaryota; Fungi; Basidiomycota; Ustilaginomycetes; Ustilaginales; Ustilaginaceae.
AUUGAAAGCUGGCGUCUUCGGCGUCCGCAUUGUAAUCUCAAGAAGUGUUUUCCGCUUCGGACCAAGCCUAAGUCCCUUGGAAAAGGGCAUCAUAGAGGGUGAUAAUCCCGUACAUGGCUUGGAGCGCCCGAAGCUUUGUGAUACGCUUUCUAAGAGUCGAGUUGUUUGGGAAUGCAGCUCAAAAUGGGUGGUAAAUGCCAUCUAAGGCUAAAUAUUGGGGAGAGACCGAUAGCGAACAAGUACAGUGAUGGAAAGAUGAAAAGAACUUUGAAAAGAGAGUUAAACAGUACGUGAAAUUGCCAAAAGGGAAGGGUAGGAGGUCAGAGAUGCGGCCUGGGAUUCAGCCUUGCUUUUGCUUGGUGUUUUUCCCAGAUUGCAGGCCAACGUCGGUUUUGGGCACUGGAGAAGGGUAGGAGGAACGUGGCACCUCUCGGGGUGUGUUAUAGCCUCCUACUGGAUACAGCGACCGAGACCGAGGACAGCAGCGUACUCGCAAGAGCGGGCCUUCGGGCACCUUUACGCUUAGGGCGUUGGCAUAAUGGCCCUCU